Molecule: ribosomal RNA, 322 nt
Filed under: uncultured eukaryote
Lineage: Eukaryota
Description: partial 18S ribosomal RNA
Rfam family: Eukaryotic small subunit ribosomal RNA
Source: RNAcentral
CCCUUAGAUGUUCUGGGCCGCACGCGUGCUACACUGAGUGGAUCAGCGGGUCAGGUUGCGCGAAAGCGUUUCCUAAUCUUUAAAUCCGCUCGUGAUGGGGAUUGACGGUUGCAAUUUUCUGUCAUGAACGAGGAAUACCUUGUAAGCGCGGGUCAUCAUCCCGCGCUGAAUACGUCCCUGCCCUGUGUACACACCGCCCGUCGCUCCUACCGAUUGAGUGGUCCGGUGAGGCUUUGGGAUCUGAGCGGAAAGAGCGUUUCGCUGUUUCUGCUCGGAAAACUCAGUCGAACCUUAUCAUUUAGAGGAAGGAGAAGUCGUAACA